UGGAAGGGCCAUCGCUCAACGGAUAAAAGGUACUCCGGGGAUAACAGGCUGAUACCGCCCAAGAGUUCACAUCGACGGCGGUGUUUGGCACCUCGAUGUCGGCUCAUCUCAUCCUGGGGCUGGAGCAGGUCCCAAGGGUACGGCUGUUCGCCGUUUAAAGAGGUACGUGAGCUGGGUUUAGAACGUCGUGAGACAGUUCGGUCCCUAUCUUCCGUGGGUGUAGGAUACUUGAGAGGAGUUGCCCCUAGUACGAGAGGACCGGGGUGAACGAUCCACUGGUGGACCAGUUGUUAUGCCAAUAGCAGUGCUGGGUAGCUAUGAUCGGACAGGAUAACCGCUGAAGGCAUCUAAGCGGGAAGCCCCCCU
Molecule: ribosomal RNA, 366 nt
Filed under: Dinophysis acuminata
Lineage: Eukaryota; Dinophyceae; Dinophysales; Dinophysaceae
Description: partial Bacterial large subunit ribosomal RNA
Rfam family: Bacterial large subunit ribosomal RNA
Source: RNAcentral